CUACGGGAGGCUGCAGUAGGGAAUCUUCCACAAUGGGCGAAAGCCUGAUGGAGCAACGCCGCGUGAGUGAAGAAGGUUUUCGGAUCGUAAAGCUCUGUUGUAAGGGAAGAACAAGUACAGUAGUAACUGGCUGUACCUUGACGGUACCUUAUUAGAAAGCCACGGCUAACUACGUGCCAGCAGCCGCGGUAAUACGUAGGUGGCAAGCGUUGUCCGGAAUUAUUGGGCGUAAAGCGCGCGCAGGCGGUCCUUUAAGUCUGAUGUGAAAGCCCACGGCUCAACCGUGGAGGGUCAUUGGAAACUGGGGGACUUGAGUGCAGAAGAGGAAAGUGGAAUUCCAAGUGUAGCGGUGAUAUGCGUAGAGAUUUGGAGGAACACCAGUGGCGAAGGCGACUUUCUGGUCUGUAACUGACGCUGAGGCGCGAAAGCGUGGGGAGCAAACAGGAUUAGAUACCCUCGUAGUC
RNAcentral lists this ribosomal RNA (464 nucleotides) under uncultured bacterium. Its description in RNAcentral is "partial 16S ribosomal RNA". It matches the Rfam family "Bacterial small subunit ribosomal RNA", at positions 339 to 795 of the family's 1533-position model. The record is from RNAcentral.